RNAcentral lists this ribosomal RNA (253 nucleotides) under uncultured bacterium. Its description in RNAcentral is "partial 16S ribosomal RNA". It matches the Rfam family "Bacterial small subunit ribosomal RNA", at positions 524 to 776 of the family's 1533-position model. The record is from RNAcentral.
UACAGAGGGGGCAAGCGUUGUUCGGAAUUACUGGGCGUAAAGGGCGCGUAGGCGGCCUGUUAAGUCGAACGUGAAAUCCCCGGGCUCAACCCGGGAACUGCGUCCGAUACUGGCAGGCUUGAAUCCGGGAGAGGGAUGCGGAAUUCCAGGUGUAGCGGUGAAAUUCGUAGAUAUUCGGAAGAACACCAGUGGCGAAGGCGGCUCACUGGACUGGUAUUGACGCUGAUGUGCGAAAGCGUGGGGAGCAAACAGG